UACGAAGGGGGCUAGCGUUGCUCGGAAUCACUGGGCGUAAAGGGUGCGUAGGCGGGUCUUUAAGUCAGGGGUGAAAUCCUGGAGCUCAACUCCAGAACUGCCUUUGAUACUGAGGAUCUUGAGUUCGGGAGAGGUGAGUGGAACUGCGAGUGUAGAGAUGAAAUUCGUAGAUAUUCGCAAGAACACCAGUGGCGAAGGCGGCUCACUGGCCCGAUACUGACGCUGAGGCACGAAAGCGUGGGGAGCAAACAGG
This 253-nucleotide ribosomal RNA is filed under the name uncultured bacterium. RNAcentral describes it as "partial 16S ribosomal RNA". It matches the Rfam family "Bacterial small subunit ribosomal RNA", at positions 524 to 776 of the family's 1533-position model. The record is from RNAcentral.